Erinaceus europaeus (western European hedgehog) is the source of this 5630-nucleotide RNA transcript. It is a transcript of the gene named ribosomal modification protein rimK like family member B, with no coding region annotated. NCBI's taxonomy places the organism in Eukaryota, Metazoa, Chordata, Mammalia, Eulipotyphla, Erinaceidae. The record is from RefSeq and is a predicted model, not a curated record. The transcript is spliced from 12 exons.
GGGGGUCCGAGCGGCGGCCGGGCUGUGAGGAAGGAAGCGCGCGGGUGAGCCAGGGCGCCCGGCCUGGCUGCGGGGGUCGCGGCGCGGCGGAGAAAGGAGGCGGCUCCCGGCGGCCCGACCCCCCUCCGUGUCCCCCUGCGCGACUCCCCCGGGGGCGCCCGCGGAGCCCAGCCCGGCGCGGGGCCGAGAGCCAGAAAGAAUUUACAAGAGAAAAUAAUAUAAGGAAAGGAGCAACAAGCAGAUCAAGAUGUGUAGUUCUGUGGCUGCCAAGUUAUGGUUUUUGACAGAUCGUCGAAUCAGGGAAGACUAUCCCCAAAAAGAAAUAUUACGAGCAUUAAAGGCCAAAUGUUGUGAAGAGGAAUUGGACUUCAGAGCUGUAGUGAUGGAUGAGUUGGUGCUGACAAUUGAGCAAGGAAACUUGGGUUUACGGAUCAAUGGAGAAGUAAUUACUGCCUACCCCCAGGUGGUGGUAGUGAGAGUACCAACCCCCUGGGUGCAAAGUGAUAGUGACAUUACUGUUUUGCGUCACCUAGAGAAGAUGGGUUGCCGGCUGAUGAACCGACCUCAAGCCAUCUUGAACUGUGUUAAUAAAUUUUGGACCUUUCAAGAGUUAGCUGGCCAUGGUGUUCCUUUGCCAGAUACUUUCUCUUAUGGUGGUCAUGAAAAUUUUGCUAAAAUGAUUGAUGAAGCAGAAGUGUUGGAGUUCCCAAUGGUGGUGAAGAAUACACGAGGUCAUAGAGGCAAAGCUGUAUUUUUGGCUCGAGAUAAGCACCACUUGGCUGACCUAACCCAUCUUAUUCGCCAUGAAGCUCCAUACCUGUUCCAGAAGUAUGUUAAAGAGUCUCAUGGACGUGAUGUUCGAGUCAUUGUUGUGGGAGGCCGUGUGGUUGGCACCAUGUUACGUUGUUCAACUGAUGGGAGGAUGCAAAGCAACUGCUCUCUAGGUGGCGUGGGGAUGAUGUGCUCCUUGAGUGAACAAGGGAAGCAACUAGCUAUCCAAGUGUCUAAUAUUCUGGGGAUGGAUGUGUGUGGCAUAGAUCUACUGAUGAAAGAUGACGGCUCCUUCUGUGUCUGCGAGGCAAAUGCAAAUGUAGGUUUCAUCGCCUUUGAUAAGGCUUGUAAUCUAGAUGUAGCAGGUAUCAUAGCGGACUAUGCCGCCUCCCUUCUGCCCUCUGGCCGGCUCACCCGGCGUAUGUCCCUGCUCUCCGUGGUGUCCACAGCCAGUGAGACUAGCGAGCCGGAGCUGGGUCCCCCAGCCAGCACUGCUGUCGACAACAUGAGCGCAAGUUCCAGCUCUGUUGACAGCGACCCUGAAAGCACCGAGCGAGAGCUGCUCACCAAGCUACCAGGGGGCCUAUUCAACAUGAACCAACUGAUAGCCAAUGAAAUCAAACUCCUGGUGGAGUGACUCCACUGGCAAAUCAUUAACCAACAAAGCCCUUGUAAAACUUUUUUCUUCUUUUUUGUUUUUCUUCUUUUUUGUUUUUUUUUUAACCAACUUGCAAUGCUGUUCAUGGAAGAUGCUCAGGAAGAUGAGAGAAAAUUGAGUAGAAUUAGAAGUGGGGAAAUAGAAAAGAUCUGUGCUGUUAAGAUAUUGCUGAAUUUCAUUUACAGAGAGACAGAAGAGACAAGAUGUCAAACUCUUAAUUUAUUUAAAGAUUUGUUUGUUCUCAUGUCAUGAAGAACAUAGAGCUUUUUUAUUUUCUCUUGCUUGUUACUUUAUUUUCUUAAAAAGUUAGUUCAGAAUAGCAGACUUCACAUUGUGUUGCAAACAUCUACCUAACUUAAGAAAUACACACACACACAACACACACACACACACACACCUGAAAAUUCUGCUAGUAUCAUUUCUAGGAGCUUUGUGUUCAUAGUGUAUAACAUCUCAAGGAUCUCUUUCGCUGGGAUUUUUUUCCUCUUUUUUUGGUUUUUUUCUUCCCUUCAUAUGGGUGGGAGUGCAAUGUGAAGAUGACCCAAUAAAGGCUUUUUAAUGACAAAAUUGGCAUGUUUGCAUAAUAAAAAGAGAAAUGAACAGUAUUGCAAUAUCUGGUACACAAAGUAACAUUUAUUCCAAUGUAGAUAAAAUUAUACUAAUUUAAAAUAUGUACAUUGACUUGUGUUUGUGUUUUAGUCUUUUUUUUUUAAGAAGAUAAAUGCUCUGUUGAUGUUGCAUUUUUUAAAAUACAUGCUAGUUUUAACAUUCCCUGAUCUAUGCCUGCAUCUUUAAACAAAAGUGAAGAAAUGCUACCUUUUUGUUAACAAGACACUGACUUGGAACAUGCAGUUUAAAACCUCCCCCCACACACACCCUUUUGGUGACUAAGCAUUUAAAGAAUAAGGACAAGGAAAAUUAUGGGGGGUGGGGGACCUCUUAAGGGCCUAUAAGUUCUUAAGUAUAAAGCUGAAAUGAUUUCUUAACACCAGUGUUACAUAUUUGCAUUUUUCACAUUUAUGGGGGAUAUAUGUGUGUGUGUAUGUGUGUGUGUGUGUGUGUGUUUGUGCACGCAUGCAUGUAUAUAUGUUUUAGUUUUUGUUUACAUAACCCAAUCAUAAAUGGAUAGAGCUAGGAAAUGGAGCAUGAUGGGAAACAGUUGCUAGUUGCUUUUAUGACUCCACUGGGGUACUCACAUGAAAGAAUAGAUAUUCUUGGGCCUUUUUGUGUGUACAUAUUAUAUAUAUAUAUUUUUCCUUUGGUUUAGACCAUUCAGUAUAUUCAUUUAUUUAUUCAAAUUUAUUCAGAGCUCCAUACUUUAAUUCAGUGCUUUGGUCAUGUUAUUUUUCUCCUAUUACUAUUAUUACAUUAUUUCCUUUUAUUAUUUUUUCUUAUAUAUAGGCUUUUGGGGUGGGGUAGGGUGGACUGGACAUUUUUAUUUGGGGGACAUAUUUAGCAUUAUAGAAUCUCUUUCAGCCCUAAUUUGAAGCCUUCAGUGUCUUCUAUUCUUUAUACUCCUUUACUUUCUGAAUUCUGUAUAUGACAUGAAUUUUUAAAGGAUGCAUAAAACAAAUCCUAUUGAUGGUUUGGAAGGUGUGUUAAGAAAUGGAGAUGCUGCAGAGCUCAACGUAAUUUUUUAAACAAGUUCCAUCUCCCUGCAAUUCUCUGAAGCUUCUAUUUGAAUCCUUUCUUGCCUCUUCAGUACUUUUUUUUCCCCUUCAGAUGGACCUUAAAUAUGUUUUCUUGGACACUACUAGAGAGACUUCAAUGCAAUAACAAAAGAUCAGUAUUAACCAGCUUUAACAGAGGUUUGAUCAUGCUUACUUGUAUAGUUUUCCCCCCAUUUUUUAAAAAGGAAUGUAAUAAAAUUUGUUUUUCCAUAGAAUUAAAUAAUAUUAAAGUUGAGUUAAAGGUUGAUUAUUGACAAAUAGAAUAGUAUCUCUAAUCUGUUCAGUGUCUCAUUUCACUUAGAAGAAGCUACAUAAGAGGAGUUCCUAACUUCUUUUAACAUAUAUAAAUCUCAUCUAAAAGAUUUGACUUGCCACAUUGUCUUUUUGCAACUCAUACACAUAUAAGUACCUCUGAUUCAUUAACAGAAAUUCUUGGUACUUCUUUUACUGAAUGACCAUGCUUUGGAGGAUGUAUUCUAUACAGAGGGAUAAAUGAGGAAGAAAGAAUUGCUUAAACCCAUCAUUCAUAUGUUUGAGACCAGCUGGUUGCCACACAAAUUAUGAUACAUACACAUUGAAUAAUUACUUACCACAUGUAUAUAGAUUAGAAUUUUAAAAACUCAAAUAGAUUGUUCUCUCUAAUGAAAAAUUCAAGGUUCUGUUAGGCGGAUAAGACACCAGGAAAAAAACAUAGUUUUUAUUAUUUUUUUUAAAACCAUACCAAGUUAAACAUUGUACUGUAAGAAACAUCUGAAACUAUUUACCUUUAGGUUACUCUAUAUCUAUUCAUCUUAUGUUCAUUUACACUUUAUUAAAGCAUACCAACCAAUAUUCAUCAACCAAUAUUUUAGAAUUAAAAGGACAGGAAUAGUUUAGACUUUAAAAACAUGAGUAUCUUCUUAAAUUCCCUCAAAAAUGAAGGUGAAGACAAAUUAUUCCUGGAAUAAACCAAAUAAAACAGCUCUCAUAUUUAAAUGAAAGUUAAAUAUUUUCAUAUUGUUUAACAACAUUUGUAUAAUCUAAUAUGGAAGGUUAAAAAUGUUUUUAUCAAAUGUAUAACAAUUACAUGCCAGUAUUCAAUCAUUGUAAAUUUGCUGUUUAUUGUUAAAAUUGUAAUUCUGAAUUGUAUAUUUUAAAAGUAAUUCUUUCUGAUAUUGUUUUUAUGUCACUCAUGAUGAAAACUGGACUAUACAGAGCAUGCACACAUACACAUACAGACACACAUGAACAAUUUCAUUUAAAAUUUUUAAGUUUUCACUUUUUUGGUGUCUAUCUUUGGUUAUUUAUGCUGGCUUUUACUCCAAUGAACUUUGAAAUAUUUGUGUAUAUGCUAUCAGUAAGAAAAUUCCUUGGAACAUUAGAAAAACAUCAAGAGACUUGCUUUCAUCAGGUACUUUAUCAGACUUUUAAGAAGGCAUCCAAAGCAUUGAAAGAAGUCAUUGACUUUUAAAACCAACUCUUCUUUUUCUCAAGAUGAAAACAAGAAGAACACAGUGAAAAAAUAAAUUCUCUUCAUUCAGUGAAUUCCCAGUUUGGGGCCUGGGGAUCUUAGAGACAUUGUGAAAUCAAAUCUUGUGUUACAUUUUUCUCCUGGCUCACUCUUUUUGAGAAGGUUUUUGGGCUAUAUGGCUGGUGAGACACGAUCCCCUCCUAAGAAAAUGUAGGUGCUCAGACAGCCUUUUCAGGAGCCAAAAAAAACCAAAACAAACAAACAAAAAAUUACCCAGAGAAAAAAACUUUCCUUCUUCCCCCUUCCUGAUGAUGAGUGAGAAGUAUUGACAACUUUCGGGGUCAGUGCCCUUCUAAACUCCCCUUCCCCCAAUAAUGCAGCUGUAUAAUGAAUGGUAAAUGCAGCGAUUUGGACUCAGACACAACCCCAGUCUGUUUGCAGGUGGCGUAUGUGUUCGUGUUUUAAUGUAUUCAGAGCCAUUGGGCAAUAAGCAGUCCAGAAAAUUGAAAACUCAAGCAGCAGAGAAAUAAACUGGUAGGUGGUAGCAGAAGAAGGAAUUCUUCAGAUUGAUGACUACUAAAAAAAUGCAUAGAAGAAGAAAGAGCAUGACUAAGUACAGCAAAGGGGGGAAAAUGGACAAAAAGAGUGUAAAUGACCAGUCCUCAGCUCUGGCUUGCUCAUAAUGGUCCAGGGGACUGAACCUGAAAGAGAGAGAAGGGACCCACAACAAUCCAGGUUCGAGCCCCCAGCCCACACUUUGAGGGGAGAAGCUUCAUAAGUAGUAAAGCAGUGCUACAGGACAGAGAAAUUAAAGGGGGAGGAGAUGGAAAAGGAGAAAGAAAGAGGUACCUGCAACACUGCUUCAUCGCUUAUAUAAUUUCCCCUUUGCAGAUUUUCCUGAGAUGACCAGUGUUCCUUUCGCUUAUUACUUCACAAGGUGGAUGAAGAUAGAUUUGACUAAUUGUUUUUUUUUUUUCAAAUGGAAGACAAUAGUACACAGACUAGGGAAGCAAUAGUUGUAACCUAUUGUGAUUUCAAUUUUUUCUCUAAAUAAAAAAUAUCAGAACUGGAGAUGAAAUAG